AGUGAACGCUGGCGGUAGGCCUAACACAUGCAAGUCGAACGGCAGCACAGUAAGAGCUUGCUCUUACGGGUGGCGAGUGGCGGACGGGUGAGGAAUACAUCGGAAUCUACUUUUUCGUGGGGGAUAACGUAGGGAAACUUACGCUAAUACCGCAUACGACCUACGGGUGAAAGCAGGGGAUCUUCGGACCUUGCGCGAUUGAAUGAGCCGAUGUCGGAUUAGCUAGUUGGCGGGGUAAAGGCCCACCAAGGCGACGAUCCGUAGCUGGUCUGAGAGGAUGAUCAGCCACACUGGAACUGAGACACGGUCCAGACUCCUACGGGAGGCAGCAGUGGGGAAUAUGAGACAAUGGGCGCAAGCCUGAUCCAGCCAUACCGAGUGGGUGAAGAAGGCCUUCGGGUUGUAAAGCCCUUUUGUUGGGAAAGAAAAGCAGCAGGUUAAUACCCCGCUGUUCUGACGGUAACCAAAGAAUAAGCACCGGCUAACUUCGUG
RNAcentral lists this ribosomal RNA (492 nucleotides) under uncultured bacterium. Its description in RNAcentral is "partial 16S ribosomal RNA". It matches the Rfam family "Bacterial small subunit ribosomal RNA", at positions 29 to 507 of the family's 1533-position model. The record is from RNAcentral.